This 98-nucleotide ribosomal RNA is filed under the name Alternaria indefessa. Its description in RNAcentral is "partial 18S ribosomal RNA". The record is from RNAcentral. Lineage: Eukaryota; Fungi; Ascomycota; Dothideomycetes; Pleosporales; Pleosporaceae.
CUUGCUGAAUUAUUCACCCGUGUCUUUUGCGUACUUCUUGUUUCCUUGGUGGGUUCGCCCACCAUAGGACAAACCACAUAAACCUUUUGUAAUUGCAA